This 217-nucleotide ribosomal RNA is filed under the name uncultured Actinomycetales bacterium. RNAcentral's name for it is "partial 16S ribosomal RNA". It matches the Rfam family "Bacterial small subunit ribosomal RNA", at positions 113 to 334 of the family's 1533-position model. Lineage: Bacteria; Bacillati; Actinomycetota; Actinomycetes; Actinomycetales. The record is from RNAcentral.
ACACGUGGGUGAUCUGCCCUGCACUUCGGGAUAAGCCUGGGAAACUGGGUCCAAUACCGGAUAGGACGAUGGUUUGGAUGCCAUUGUGGAAAGUUUUUCGGUGUGGGAUGAGCUCGCGGCCUAUCAGCUUGUUGGUGGGGUAAUGGCCUACCAAGGCGUCGACGGGUAGCCGGCCUGAGAGGGUGUACGGCCACAUUGGGACUGAGAUACGGCCCAG